Molecule: ribosomal RNA, 331 nt
Filed under: uncultured Anoxybacillus sp.
Lineage: Bacteria; Bacillati; Bacillota; Bacilli; Caryophanales; Anoxybacillaceae
Description: bacterial SSU rRNA
Rfam family: Bacterial small subunit ribosomal RNA
Source: RNAcentral
GGUUGUCGUCAGCUCGUGUCGUGAGAUGUGGUUAAGUCCGCAACGAGCGCAACCCUCGACCUUAGUUGCCAGCAUUCAGUUGGGCACUCUAAGGUGACUGCCGGCUAAAAGUCGGAGGAAGGUGGGGAUGACGUCAAAUCAUCAUGCCCCUUAUGACCUGGGCUACACACGUGCUACAAUGGGCGGUACAAAGGGCUGCGAACCCGCGAGGGGGAGCGAAUCCCAAAAAGCCGCUCUCAGUUCGGAUUGCAGGCCGCAACUCGCCUGCAUGAAGCCGGAAUCGCUAGUAAUCGCGGAUCAGCAUGCCGCGGUGAAUACGUUCCCGGGCCUU